UACGGCCACAUAACGUUGAAACACCUGCUCCCGUACGAUCACUGAAGUUAAGCAACGUCGAGCUUGGUAAGUACUUAGAGGGAUAACUGAUUGCGAAUAACAGGCGCUGUAAG
Acanthosepion pharaonis is the source of this 113-nucleotide non-coding RNA. The record is from the annotation of a GenBank genome assembly. NCBI's taxonomy places the organism in Eukaryota, Metazoa, Mollusca, Cephalopoda, Sepiida, Sepiidae.